RNAcentral lists this ribosomal RNA (375 nucleotides) under uncultured bacterium. RNAcentral describes it as "bacterial SSU rRNA". It matches the Rfam family "Bacterial small subunit ribosomal RNA", at positions 523 to 898 of the family's 1533-position model. The record is from RNAcentral.
AUACGUAGGGGGCAAGCGUUAUCCGGAAUCACUGGGUGUAAAGGGUGCGUAGGCGGUAGGGCAAGUCAGAUGUGAAAGCCCGGAGCUCAACUCCGGGAUUGCAUUUGAAACUGCUUUACUAGAGUGCAGGAGAGGAAAGCGGAAUUCCUAGUGUAGCGGUGAAAUGCGUAGAUAUUAGGAAGAACACCAGUGGCGAAGGCGGCUUUCUGGACUGUAACUGACGCUGAGGCACGAAAGCGUGGGGAGCGAACAGGAUUAGAUACCCUGGUAGUCCACGCCGUAAACGAUGAGUGCUAGGUGUCGGGGCCGACAGGUCUCGGUGCUGAAGUUAACGCAUUAAGCACUCCACCUGGGGAGUACGAUCGCAAGAUUGAA